CAAAUAUUCCCCAGAAGCCUAAUAUGUGCUCCAUGCUACCACACACAAGGGCAAAUGGAUAGAUGAAGAGGACACCCUUAUUAUCUAAGAGUGUGGGAACUGGACUGGAGCCAAAAAUCCCAACAGCUCAAACUCAGGGCUGGGUCAGAAUCAGGCGGAGAACCCGGAGUGGUGACAGUGAUGGCAGCAGAGCCAGGGUGAGACUGAGAGUGCUCAGACUAAUUUUCUUGGAAGUAGUGGAAAGCUCCGCUAAAAAAGAAACAUGGGUUUGGAUUGAGCAGAAUGUCAAGAGCCCUGAGAACCAACCAAAAAAUGGCAGAUGAGCUGUUUCAGGGGCAACAUUUAGGAAAGUGAAAUCUCUGCUUUGCUUACAAUGACGGGACUGAAAAUGGCAAUUCUGCACAGGAAAGGGACUGUGGGACUCUUCCAAGACAUUUAGGACAUCCAAGUUUCUUUGAAGGUUGGCACAUCAGUCUUUAUUCUUCCACAGGAAGCCAGCAAACUGAGAAGAUGGCAGACUGGUGUCCUAAAGGACCAUCUUCAAAGGUUCAUUGUCUGGAACCCCUGUAACAAA
This 574-nucleotide long non-coding RNA is filed under the name Homo sapiens (human). RNAcentral describes it as "HSALNT0343536". The record is from RNAcentral. Lineage: Eukaryota; Metazoa; Chordata; Mammalia; Primates; Hominidae.